CCCUAGCCCUGAUAGUAGCGGCAUCCUUUUGUUUUUGAUGUUUUUUUGGAACAGCAAAAAGAAAAGAUAUAGCGGAUAGCAGGAUUUGGC
This 90-nucleotide small RNA is filed under the name Flavobacterium terrigena. RNAcentral's name for it is "Flavo-1 RNA". It matches the Rfam family "Flavo-1 RNA". The record is from RNAcentral. Lineage: Bacteria; Pseudomonadati; Bacteroidota; Flavobacteriia; Flavobacteriales; Flavobacteriaceae.